CCCAAUCAUCUCCACCAGCUUCAUCGCACUUGCCUCACCUCGUGGUCGUCGCCUCGCACGCUGUCGCCUCCUCCAUAUCGCAGCGCCAUCGGCAGCGUCCUCUGAGCCGAUCCUCCUCCCCCGUUGGCCGUGAAGAAGGGCACAAUGUUGUGCCCAUGGUGGAGGCGGCGGAUUCGUUGCCGGCGGGGAACGCACGACAACAACAAACAUCAGCACUAGGGCGAGCUAGGGCGACCGCCCUAGGUUCCUGUGGGCGAGCUCCACAUCAUAUCGCAGUUUGCUCAAGUCCGGCGAGGGCUAAUGGCAGCACGGCGGCGCCCUCGGCGAGAAGGACAACGACAUCGGCCAGGCUUGAGAUUGGGGGCGACUGGGUGAGCGUGGGCCUCGUGGGCCGCCUGGCCUGGUGGUUCCUCCGGCCCAGCGCCACGCGCAGGGUCUUCUUCCUGCCCAAACGCCAUCCACCCAGCAUGGAGUCGCCGGCGCCGUCGGCCGUCCUACCCCCGCGUCGUGGAACCCCGCCUCCCCUCUCCCCCUCCACCGCUCGGGCCCUCGGCAGUCGACCGUCGGCAGAUCUCGCGAGCUCGGCGUCGCCCGCCGCCGAGGGGACCUGUAGGGCAGCAGGGCUGCAGCCCGCCUCUAGCCUCCACCGACCGCAGCCUCGGCCCUGGGUACCCGCCGGCCGCGCCGGCCGCCGCCUCGGCCCUGGGUACCCUCCGGCCGCCGCCGCGGGCACCUACAGGCCUCCUCGCCCCUGACCCCCGUGCUCCGCCCUAGGUCUUUUUGUGACUUGGCUUCGCCACUUACCAUGGAGGUGGGUGGAUAAAGGAGCUGCAAGGGGCUCCAUCAACGCAUGGAGGUCAGCUCACAGUCCCUCGCUCGGAUAGUCGGAUGCAAGCCUGUGCCUCUUCCUCUCGCUCAUAUGUUGGUCCCGUUCGCCAUCCUGCCUGCGCAACGCCGCAACCUUGGACGGCCGCCUCUCCUCUUUAUCCUCCUGCAGCGACGGCCUCGCAUCUAUCUUAAUCAAGGUGCUUCGCUGCCGGAUGCAGGCUCUCAGUCUUCCUCGAGUGCGUCGUCGCCAUCAUCAGUUGCGCAGGUGACGAGUCCAUAUCAGCACUACAUGUAUACUUCUCUCUGUUGAUUGCAACUAAUCUUUGUUUCUAUCUUUGGUAAGUUGGAUAAUCACUAGCCAUUUUAUUUUGCAGUUACCUUCUGAUGAAUCUAAAAAUACUAAAACAAAAUGCAUCUUUGGCAUUAGGGGAGUUGCAAUGUUUUUACUGUGCUACUCUAAUUCCAGUUCGUUCCACUACAUUGGAUUUAGCCUAUAGCAUGUAAGUAAACCUUCUAACCUCUUUGACUUACAGAUUAUAACAUAUCUGAUCACUUUAAGCUGUUGUAUGUUGGAGGAACCUGAGAGUAUUCCUGCUAGGUCUGAAAAGAGAAAAUUUACUAAUAACCUGCAAGGGGAUUAUUUAGCAAUUACAUACACAUGAAACGAUCUACCAUGGUAUCUUCUUUAUCUGAAUUUUGAAGGCAAAUACCUUACAUUAAGAUUGAAGAUGUACUGAAAUUGGUACUGGAUACGUACAUGUAAUUUCAACAUGCUCUCAUUUAUUCAAUUUAUCAGACUUUUUUUUUAAUGUAGCUCAUGGCUUGAGGGCGCUCUGUUUCCUUCCGUACACAUAGGCCUCAAAGUUUUCUUGUUUUGUGAUGAAAAAAGUCCGGCAUUGACAAUAUUAUGUUAGUGGUAAGGAAAGUAAACUGGCAAGCAAGAGUGAUACGAUUGAUGUGAAAAAGUUGGUACGAAAUUUUUUUAUUAUAUUUCCUCCCUGCCUCUUAAUUGUACAUAAAAGAAAAAAAUAUAUCCAUUUUGCUUUGUGUCUAUUUCUUUUAGGGAACCUCUAAGGUGUUUCCCCUCAACCCAUGUUAUGUACUCCUAUGGUGUUACAGUACAUGUUUAAUUACCUUCGAUGAUGAUAAAUUAGCUAUUUGUGAUCUUAACUGACUAAGAAUCAUGUGAUCACUAUGUUCCACUAAUAUUUAUUCUUAUUGCACUUCCUAUCUUUUGUUUUAUGCUGUUAGUAUGUUUAUUUUGAUUUCUCUAUUUUCCAGGUGUCUUCUAUUCCUGUGUCUUCUAUUCCUGGCAAAGGUUAAUGCUUCGCUAGAGAGAUUAGUUGUCUGGAUGUCCUUGCGGGCCUUCAACAUUAGUUAGAGCCUAUCGAUUUCCAGAGACAUUUUUUCCUUUUCGUCAGCUAAUGUUCUUCUUAACCAGGAUUGCCUUUCUUCAAAUCUCAAGACCUAUUUGCAGUAGUCUAAAUUAUUUUUUAAGGUUAUUCUCAUCAUUUAAUAAACAAUCCAUUGCAAAAAUUGCCAUGAUAUAAAAAAAUAGCUUCGAAUUUAGAAUUUGCAUAAUCUUUUAAAUUAUUCAAUAUCAGUAACCAGUAGCUUAGUCCUCCAGUUCUGUCCAGCAAUAGGGCAAGCUAUUUUGGUAAAAGCUGCAGAUUCAAUUAGUCGUCUUGGUUGCCUUUAAAUUUUACACAAAAUGUUUGUGUUCCAUUUUGCAGAUUUGCUCAUGGGUUGACAAACUGAGCUAGAGGUAUAUGAUCUAUAAUGUUGCAUUCCUGCUUUGGAUUUCUUUGCCAAGCAGUGAUACUAAAUCUGAGCACCUAUUCAGAAAUUCAAACUGACCAUGGACUCUAUGAUAGCCUUGGGUUUUAAUAUUAUGCCCAGUUACAAGGCCAUUUGAAAAUGCAGGAAUUCAGUUUGAAACUCUAAGCCCUGAAAAUGUCACGCUGUAUUUGUUUUUUUUUUUUGUCUAGACUAAAACCUCUAGCCAUGAACUUGGUUAGAUGGGGCUCAAAACAAAUGAAGUGUGACCUUUGGUGCCAUGUGGUGAGGGAAGGAUCCAACAUACAAUGCCGUUAUUUAACUUUUCUCUCUUCUAACAUGCUACUUCCUUGGGUUUCACUGAAUAAUCACCUACACCUGGAUCUGUUGUCUGAUUUCCUCAUACUUUAGCCAACUGAACUAGAGAAUUUCAAAUUCCCUAUGGACUCUGCGAUACCUUCAUUGUUUCUUAUCGUGUCCAGUUAGCAAGCAUUUGAAAAUGAUCAGUUUGCAGUUUUAUAUUACUCCCUGAGAAUCUUAAGCUGUAUUUUGUUUUCCCUUUUGGCUAGACUUCUGUACAUGAACCUGGUUAGCUGGGCUCAACACAAGAUAAGUAUAACCUUUGGUGCCAUAUUAGGGGUGAUGGAAGGAGCCAGUUCCGUAGCUUUCUAUCUUUUAGCAUAGUACUUCCUUCGAUUUCACUGAACACUGACAUAUGUUUGAAUCUUUUGUUUUGGUAAUUUUUUUGUCCAAUUGGGAUUCCAGGUUAUAAAAAGUAUAGUAACCUUGAUCCUCACUCCCUAAGUAAUGUGUGGAGGAGACCUAUGCCUGGAUCACUCACAUGAUCAACAACAUACUACAUGUACAAUCUUCAAUUACCCUUUCUUAUGGACAUUCAGCUGCAUAGGGCCAUUCUAAUAAAUAAUAAUUUGUGUUCUUUGCUAA
Panicum virgatum (switchgrass) is the source of this 3549-nucleotide long non-coding RNA. RefSeq lists it as uncharacterized. The record is from RefSeq and is a predicted model, not a curated record. The transcript is spliced from 3 exons. Lineage: Eukaryota; Viridiplantae; Streptophyta; Magnoliopsida; Poales; Poaceae.